RNAcentral lists this ribosomal RNA (460 nucleotides) under uncultured bacterium. Its description in RNAcentral is "partial 16S ribosomal RNA". It matches the Rfam family "Bacterial small subunit ribosomal RNA", at positions 338 to 795 of the family's 1533-position model. The record is from RNAcentral.
CCUACGGGUGGCAGCAGUGAGGAAUAUUGGUCAAUGGACGAGAGUCUGAACCAGCCAAGUAGCGUGAAGGAUGACUGCCCUAUGGGUUGUAAACUUCUUUUAUAUGGGAAUAAAAUGUUCCACGUGUGGGAUUUUGUAUGUACCAUAUGAAUACGGAUCGGCUAAAUCCGUGCCAGCAGCCGCGGUAAUACGGAGGAUUCGAGCGUUAUCCGGAUUUAUUGGGUUUAAAGGGAGCGUAGGUGGAUUGUUAAGUCAGUUGUGAAAGUUUGCGGCUCAACCGUAAAAUUGCAGUUGAAACUGGCAGUCGUGAGUACAGUAGAGGUGGGCGGAAUUCGUGGUGUAGCGGUGAAAUGCUUAGAUAUCACGAAGAACUCCGAUUGCGAAGGCAGCUCACUGGACUGCAACUGACACUGAGGCUCGAAAGUGUGGGUAUCAAACAGGAUUAGAUACCCUAGUAGUC